Molecule: ribosomal RNA, 447 nt
Filed under: uncultured bacterium
Lineage: Bacteria
Description: bacterial SSU rRNA
Rfam family: Bacterial small subunit ribosomal RNA
Source: RNAcentral
CCAGACUCCUACGGGAGGCAGCAGUGGGGGAUAUUGCACAAUGGGGGAAACCCUGAUGCAGCGACGCCGCGUGGGUGAAGAAGUAUUUCGGCAUGUAAAGCCCUAUCAGCAGGGAAGAAAGAAGACGGUACCUGACUAAGAAGCCCCGGCUAGCUACGUGCCAGCAGCCGCGGUAAUGCGUAGGGGGCGAGCGUUAUCCGGAUUCACUGGGUGUAAAGGGAGCGUAGACGGCCGUGCAAGCCAGGAGUGAAAGCCCGGGGCCCAACCCCGGGACUGCUCUUGGAACUGUGCGGCUGGAGUGCGGGAGGGGCAGGCGGAAUUCCUGGUGUAGCGGUGAAAUGCGUAGAUAUCAGGAGGAACACCGGCGGCGAAGGCGGCCUGCUGGACCGCGACUGACGUUGAGGCUCGAGAGCGUGGGGAGCAAACAGGAUUAGAUACCCGAGUAAC